This 273-nucleotide ribosomal RNA is filed under the name uncultured bacterium. RNAcentral's name for it is "partial 16S ribosomal RNA". It matches the Rfam family "Archaeal small subunit ribosomal RNA", at positions 474 to 747 of the family's 1478-position model. The record is from RNAcentral.
AACCAGCACCUCAAGUGGUCAGGAGGAUUAUUGGGCCUAAAGCAUCCGUAGCCUGUUCUGUAAGUUUUCGGUUAAAUCCAUUAGCUCAACUAAUGGGCCGCCGAAAAUACUGUAGAACUAGGGAGUGGGAGAGGUAGACGGUAUUCGGUAGGAAGGGGUAAAAUCCUUUGAUCUAUUGAGGACCACCUGUGGCGAAGGCGGUCUACCAGAACACGUUCGACGGUGAGGGAUGAAAGCUGGGGGAGCAAACCGGAUUAGAAACCCCGGUAGUCC